Gossypium arboreum is the source of this 270-nucleotide long non-coding RNA. RefSeq lists it as uncharacterized. Lineage: Eukaryota; Viridiplantae; Streptophyta; Magnoliopsida; Malvales; Malvaceae. The record is from RefSeq and is a predicted model, not a curated record. The transcript is spliced from 3 exons.
GAGAGUAGAGGUACCUUUCUUGGCUGAUCCCUUUCGCUGUAUGGCAUGCUCGUUUGGGUUGGGCGUCGGCUAAGGGUGCUCGGAGUGUGGAUUAACUCCAGUCUCCUAUCAGUUUGAGUGACAGGUGGUGGUUAUCGUAGGCGAUUGACUUUGGAAACAUUUCAACUUCAACCCGUAACAGAUCUAUUUUCUACGCACGUUUGAGUUGGAUUCACAACGGAUAUGGGGUAGGAAGGUAUUUGGAACGUUCUUCAACGAGUAGAUAUCUUG